UUCGAUGCUUGUAUGCUACUCCCAAGAAUGCUAACAGGAGUUCCAUGUAUGCAUCGAGCA
This 60-nucleotide microRNA precursor is filed under the name Columba livia (rock pigeon). RNAcentral's name for it is "Cli-Mir-1559_pre stem-loop". The record is from RNAcentral. Lineage: Eukaryota; Metazoa; Chordata; Aves; Columbiformes; Columbidae.